This 900-nucleotide ribosomal RNA is filed under the name uncultured bacterium. Its description in RNAcentral is "bacterial SSU rRNA". It matches the Rfam family "Bacterial small subunit ribosomal RNA", at positions 22 to 917 of the family's 1533-position model. The record is from RNAcentral.
GCUCAGAUUGAACGCUGGCGGCAGGCCUAACACAUGCAAGUCGAGCGGAUGAAGGGAGCUUGCUCCUGGAUUCAGCGGCGGACGGGUGAGUAAUGCCUAGGAAUCUGCCUGGUAGUGGGGGAUAACGUCCGGAAACGGGCGCUAAUACCGCAUACGUCCUGAGGGAGAAAGUGGGGGAUCUUCGGACCUCACGCUAUCAGAUGAGCCUAGGUCGGAUUAGCUAGUUGGUGGGGUAAAGGCCUACCAAGGCGACGAUCCGUAACUGGUCUGAGAGGAUGAUCAGUCACACUGGAACUGAGACACGGUCCAGACUCCUACGGGAGGCAGCAGUGGGGAAUAUUGGACAAUGGGCGAAAGCCUGAUCCAGCCAUGCCGCGUGUGUGAAGAAGGUCUUCGGAUUGUAAAGCACUUUAAGUUGGGAGGAAGGGCAGUAAGUUAAUACCUUGCUGUUUUGACGUUACCAACAGAAUAAGCACCGGCUAACUUCGUGCCAGCAGCCGCGGUAAUACGAAGGGUGCAAGCGUUAAUCGGAAUUACUGGGCGUAAAGCGCGCGUAGGUGGUUCAGCAAGUUGGAUGUGAAAUCCCCGGGCUCAACCUGGGAACUGCAUCCAAAACUACUGAGCUAGAGUACGGUAGAGGGUGGUGGAAUUUCCUGUGUAGCGGUGAAAUGCGUAGAUAUAGGAAGGAACACCAGUGGCGAAGGCGACCACCUGGACUGAUACUGACACUGAGGUGCGAAAGCGUGGGGAGCAAACAGGAUUAGAUACCCUGGUAGUCCACGCCGUAAACGAUGUCGACUAGCCGUUGGGAUCCUUGAGAUCUUAGUGGCGCAGCUAACGCGAUAAGUCGACCGCCUGGGGAGUACGGCCGCAAGGUUAAAACUUAAAGGAAUUGACGGC